AUCAGGACAGGCGUACACUACGUUUCUUUUCUCUCGUAACGCACUAUUACUCUCUCUCUUCCUUGUUAGCACAUUCUCUCUCUCUCCUCAUCUCUGUGUUUUUUUUUUGGGUAAAACGUCAUCCCUAUGUUUCUCAUUGAACUUCUCAAACCCCUACUCCUUGCCUCUCGCGCACCAUCUCUACCCCUGCUCCCUGCCUAUCGCUCACCAUCUCUCCACUCUUUCUCUCUCUAAAUCCUUGUUUUAGUUUUUUUGGGUAAAACCUCAUCCUUGUGUUUCUCAUUGAACUGCUCAAAUGCCUGCUCGCUGCCUCUCGCACACCAUCUCUGCCCUUGCUCGCUGCCUCUCGCGCACCAUCAGUGCCCCUGCUUGUUGCUUCUCGCACCCAUCUCUUAAAGCCCUAAACUGCUAGGUUGAAGAAUAGUGAGUUAAAGAUUCUGAAAUGUCAGUUUGUUUGAUCACAGCAGAAAGCUUUUGGUCGAGCCAAAUCCUCAAGCAUCAGAAUGAGACUGGAUGCGGCUAUCUAGAUUGAUGUGAUGAAAUUCUAGGUGAAGAUAGGAAGCAUGUGGUUAAAAGGUUCAUGUCUCAAAGAUCAUAUACUUGUACAUCUGAUGGAUUAGAUGCAUCUUUGUUUGAAAAAGAGAAGCGCAAAUCUGUUGCUAUGUUCUCUCAGAAACAGAUAUUCAAAAAAUUACUCUUAUAUGUGUAAUUUUAUUUAUGAUAUUGAUAUUUGCCUUCCUUUUUUUUUUGUAAAAAGAAUGGGUAUAUGUUUUAUGGUAUCUAUGUAAUUAUACUUGUAUACACUUAUAUUUCUCUAUCUUCUAUGGAACAAUAAUGUUCAAUUUA
Molecule: long non-coding RNA, 846 nt
Organism: Amborella trichopoda
Lineage: Eukaryota; Viridiplantae; Streptophyta; Magnoliopsida; Amborellales; Amborellaceae
Source: RefSeq, a predicted model, not a curated record